RNAcentral lists this ribosomal RNA (82 nucleotides) under uncultured bacterium. Its description in RNAcentral is "partial 16S ribosomal RNA". The record is from RNAcentral.
UCGUGCGGGACGAAAAAUCUGGUGAGUUAAUAGCUCAUCAGACUGACGGUACCGCAAAAGGAAGCACCGGCUAACUUCGUGC